AUGCUGGGAGAGGGCAGAGGGUAUCCCACCCCUUUCCCAGGGCAGGCCUGUCCCCUGGGGGCACUCCGCCCCUGCGCUGCUGUCCCAGCUCUACCGGGCAGGGAGGUGGAGGCUCCAAGUGUGGGGUGUGGUGUGAUCCACCUGGAGGACCCCCCACCGUCCCCGGGCCUAAGCAGAGCCGCUGGGCUCUGGGACCUCCGCCCCUCCAACAACGUCGGAGCUUCAUCCUUCUGUGUCCUGGACGACUCCCCACUCAGCACCGCGCUAGCUGCUCCACAGCAGAAUCAGCUGCCACCCGAGGAGGCCACGCCGGGCCGCUCUCCUGUGCUGGAAGACCGCUCAGCAGUACGCUCCCAAAGCCUUCUGCGGUCAGCUCUUUCGCUUGGAACCGCACCUCUGCAAGCUCAUCCUUGGGACGCAGAGACAGUUGUCCUUUCACUGCUGCGACAGAAAACGUGCACGAGCCAGCGUGGACCAGGGAGGGCUUCUUAGGGCUUCUGGUUCAGAGCUUUCUGUCCGUGGCUGUGGGUGCCAUUGCUUCGGGCUGUGGUGAGACACAAGGGCGGGUGACAGGACAGUGCCCAGGGGCAGCCAGUAGGACAGACAGUGCACAAGCCCAGGGGGAAGGCCCCGCCCAAGCUCCAACCCCGCGCCCCUCUCCCCCCAGCGGGCCAUCAAAUUAUGACCUCAUCUCACAAGGGCCUUGCCUGUGCCCGGACUCCCCACACAUGAAGGCUUCACUCCCAGGGUGGGAAGGAGGAACCAGAACCAGGCUGCCUUCGUCACAAAGCCGGGCUCACUGAUGGCGACAGUGUGAUGCUCCCUGUGAUGUGUGGGCUUGACCAGGGCAGGGAGUGCCCCGCAGACGGGCAGAUUCGGAGCACGUUCGUGGACGGCGGACGUGCAGGCCCAGCCCAGGGGAGAACUCGCUCACCGGACGUGAGGGCACCGGCCGAGGAGCUGGAGCCCAGGUGGAGCGCAAGGGAGCGGAGGAGGAAGUCUGCUCUGCCUCUCUGGGGGAGCGCAGCCUCGCCCCUGCCUUUGGACAGCUGUGUCAGCCCUCCAGGCCUCCAGCACGGUCUCUUCUGUUCUCCAACACGACUUACACUGAGCUCCAGGCCCUUGGCCUUCGCUGACCCCCGCUCUCCAGUGUGGACGUGGCCAUCGUGCCUUCUUCCACCCGGCUCCACAGCGGCCCCUGGGACGUCCCACCUCUGACCCUGCAAUCACACAUAUAUGUCCUAUCAGUCUGUUCCUCUAGUGAACCCUAAUCCAGGCAGCUACAGAAGUCUGGCUGGAUCCCACAGAGCAGGGAGACCCCACCUUGAGAUGGACACGUCACUGUCACACUGUGUGGGGGGUGUUACGAGGCGUGCACGGCUGGGGGGUGGGUGCAGACCUCCUGGGAAAUGCAGCCUAACUAAAAUUCAACAUAUCUUGAAAGAAUCUCUCAGGGCCUCAGCAAGUGCCCGCGGGAGGCUGUGAACGGAAACCGUGGGAUUUCAGAGCAGCGUGGACAGUCCGAUCCUAGUUGGCAGGAAGAAAUGCUAGCAGUGGCUCUUCCUGGGUUGUGAGGUAACAGGACAUAUUUCUUUUCUUCCUUCUUGGUGUCUGUGUUUUUAUCAUUUCCAGGAUAAACGUGUCAAUUUUAUAAUUAGAUAUAAAAAAAAAAGUAAAAAUACUGAGAAAAUGUUACCUUAGAAGGGACAAGGCCACCGACCUGAGCUUCGCCGACCCGUGGCCCCCCAGCCGCCUGCCCUGGUUUCACCCCCGCCCGUCUGCCAUCCUCAGCCUCGCCUGGAUCUUUCCUCUCUGUGGACAGUGAUUCUCUGGCCCCCGAGUGUUAACAGCUACAGCGCACUGUGGACUCUGCAACGACUGCCCUGUCUGCUUCCUGGCAGGGACCCUCUGGGCCCGCCUUCUCCACUUCCUCUCGCGCAGGUCUCCCCUCUGCCCCACAGCUCCCCUCUGCAGAAUGCCCUGGGCCGGUCACCGCACUGUCACAGGCCGGGCGACUGGGGCGGGCCCUGGCGCCUGCAGGGUUUCCCUUGGGCUCCUUGGUGCUUUAAAAUCGUUGAUUGAUUCCCACAUCUACCCGACGGGAAAGCCCCCACCAGCGCAGACUCUCAGUCUCCCUGAAACGGGGAGACCUCGCAGCACCGGUCACAAACAGCCCUGAGGGGCCCCGCAGCUGCUUCCGGAGGACGCAGGCUCCCAGGACGGCUGACCCACCGCGCUGGCCUGGAGCUGUCUGGUGCCCGGUUAGGCAUCUGGCCUCCCGCUGGCCUUGACCUGUGGAUUCUGAGUUAGGAUUCUCACCCAGUGAAGGCUUGGAAUGUCAUCACGAGGUUCAGGCAGCUUAAUGUGAGUGCCUGCCAGGCAAAGCUGAGGCUAGGGAGUGGGUGCCAGCACAUUUGAAAUGUGAUCCCCAGAACCUGAUAAGAGAGGGAGGCAGUGAGACAGACGAGCAGGAGGGUAGCUAGCGUGUGGGGGGCUAGUUGUUAUAACCUAGCUAUUGCGCCACGUUGCUGUUCUGUAUGCGCCUGAGUAGCCAUGAUAAACAAGUUGUGCUGUGGAAUUUCUCUCGAGUCUUUGUGACCUGACUGGUAUGCUGUGCUGAUAAACAUGUUGUGUUAGACCAAGAUAAUAUUUUCCUUAAAGGACAUAAUAAAAAAAACCAACUGUCCUUGUGCACUAGAAAAAUGCGUCAUCUGCUUGAUGUGCUGUCCUAUACCAAUCAUGUAAAACCACCUCAACCUUUAACUUGUAUCCCCCAAUCCGAAGCUGCCACUAACUAUCACCCCAUUACCACCCCUUCUUUGUGGUUUUUGUGCUUAAAUACAAUGUGCUUAGCUUGUGAGGCGCGCAUUCUCGGGGCCGGUCCUAUGAGUUUGCAUCAGCCAGGCCUGGAAUAAAUGCCUUUGCUCCCCAAAUUUGGAGUCUCUGAGUCUUGGCUUCCCACGGGGGUCAUGAGACCACAACACUAGUCAGCAGGGGGCCAGGGCAGCCACCUGCGGGUCCCGAGGCACUCAAAGAACAGGGAGUGCAGCAAGCUGGGCUCUGCAUCGCCAGCAGCUUCCCCACGCAGCCUGGGGCGCCGGGGUGCCGCCCUGCGCACCUGCACCAGGCUCCCAGGAAGGAAGCUGAGGACUGGUGUGCCAGGUGAUGGCCCCGUGCCCAUGGGCAGGGCCCUGGCAGUGUCUACUGAUGGCAUCCCCUCCCCUUAGCUGGCAUCACGGUGGCACCUGACACCUGUGACGGACAGGCUCUCGUUCUCCCUGUGCUCACCUGACGCCUUCCAUGGGGAGGGAAAUGCCUUGAGCACCUGCGAAUCCCGGCUUGCUCACCCCUAGGGGAGGCGCCAUGCACACAUCGGUCCCUGCCCUGCGCAGCCCUGGCUUCUGCAGGCCUCCCGAGGCUCCCCGGGAGGCACAGAUGAAUGGUCAGGGAAUCCCUCCCUGGUGGCUCCUCCGGCGUCCUCUGCAGGGUGCUGGCCCGAGCCCGAUCACCGUGGCCUGAUGCCCCACAGCACAUGGCCACGGGGACCGGCUCGCUGCCCUCGGUCAGCUGAGGGCGAAGCUCUGCUGUGCACGUGGCGCGUGCCCCGGGCGCUCAGGUGACUAUGGUCGCCUACUGUCAGCCUGGGCUCAUGGCUUCCCGCUCCUUCCAUGAGCAGGUGGAGGGAUGCGUGGGGACAGACUGACUGCAGGGCACACAGCCAGCGGGCAGUGGCUGGUUUAUCUGGAGCCAGCCGGGACCUGGGGUGACCGCCCACGUCUUGGGGAGUGGAGGCCGGGGGUCCCAGCCUCCUCUCCCCAGCCCUCACACUCCUAAGACCCCAACAAGAAUUCCUGGGGCAGCCUGUGGCCCCAGAGGACCCUUUCCAAGUCACCUGGAUCCAUAGCCAAAGACUGGGCACCCCGCCCGGGCUGCUGGGGGGCACUCCGCACACAGAGGACCCCUCAGUUCCUGCCAUCCAGCCGGCACCUCAUUGACUCGGUGCUCCAAGAGGGCUGAAGGUCAGAGCUGCAGUCCUCCGGCUCCCUGGUGAGGGGUCCCCUGCCCUAAGGCACCGGGAGGCCCAGGAAGCCGCGCCGCCCGAGCGAGGCUCUGCCCACAGCAAGGCAGGACUUGUGCGGAGCGCGGCGGCAGUGGGGACGGCAGCCCGGCGGGAACUCUCAGGAGGGCCCGGGUGGUGCGGGCAGCGCAGUGAGCCGGCCUGGGCCCGCAGCACCCCGGCGCCCGGAGACUCGCAGCGAGGUCAGCGGCGCGGUUCGCGCGCAGUCGGGAAGGUUCGCACGCCCUCGGCGCGGAGACCGUUCUGCCCGGCGCGUCCUCAGCUUCUCCAGCCGGCCGAGGGUUCCUGCGGACUCCAGCCCGGGCGGCUCCGGGCGCCCCUCUGCGGCCCCGCGGCCCCCACGGUGCCUCCGGCCUCCGGCCCAGGC
RNAcentral lists this long non-coding RNA (4445 nucleotides) under Chinchilla lanigera (long-tailed chinchilla). RNAcentral's name for it is "lncRNA (ENSCLAG00000027142.1)". The record is from RNAcentral. Lineage: Eukaryota; Metazoa; Chordata; Mammalia; Rodentia; Chinchillidae.